Molecule: ribosomal RNA, 492 nt
Filed under: uncultured bacterium
Lineage: Bacteria
Description: partial 16S ribosomal RNA
Rfam family: Bacterial small subunit ribosomal RNA
Source: RNAcentral
AGUGAACGCUGGCGGUAGGCCUAACACAUGCAAGUCGAACGGCAGCACAGUAAGAGCUUGCUCUUACGGGUGGCGAGUGGCGGACGGGUGAGGAAUACAUCGGAAUCUACUUUUUCGUGGGGGAUAACGUAGGGAAACUUACGCUAAUACCGCAUACGACCUACGGGUGAAAGCAGGGGAUCUUCGGACCUUGCGCGAUUGAAUGAGCCGAUGUCGGAUUAGCUAGUUGGCGGGGUAAAGGCCCACCAAGGCGACGAUCCGUAGCUGGUCUGAGAGGAUGAUCAGCCACACUGGGACUGAGACACGGUCCAGACUCCUACGGGAGGCAGCAGUGGGGAAUAUUGGACAAUGGGCGCAAGCCUGAUCCAGCCAUACCGCGUAGGUGAAGAAGGCCUUCGGGUUGUAAAGCCCUUUUGUUGGGAAAGAAAAGCAGCAGGUUAAUACCCCGCUGUUCUGACGGUACCCAAAGAAUAAGCACCGGCUAACUUCGUG